GACGAACGCUGGCGGCGUGCUUAACACAUGCAAGUCGAACGGAAAGGCCCUGCUUUUGUGGGGUGCUCGAGUGGCGAACGGGUAAGUAACACGUGAGUAACCUGCCCUUGACUUUGGGAUAACUUCAGGAAACUGGGGCUCAUACCGGAUAGGAGCUCCUGCUGCAUGGUGGUGGUUGGAAAGUUUCGGCGGUUGGGGCUGGACUCGCGGCUUAUCAGCUUGUUGGUGGGGUAGUGGCUUACCAAGGCUUUGACGGGUAGCCGGCCUGAGAGGGUGACCGGCGACAUGGGGACUAAGAUACGGCCCAGACGCCUACGGGAGGCAGCAGUGGGAAAUAUUGCACAAUGGGCGGAAGCCUGAGGCAGCAACGCCGCGUGCGGGAUGACGGCCUUCGAGUUGUAAACCGCUUUCGCCGUUGACGAAGCGUGAGUGACGGUAAUGGGUAAGGAAGCACCGGCUAACUACGUG
This 468-nucleotide ribosomal RNA is filed under the name uncultured bacterium. RNAcentral describes it as "partial 16S ribosomal RNA". It matches the Rfam family "Bacterial small subunit ribosomal RNA", at positions 28 to 507 of the family's 1533-position model. The record is from RNAcentral.